Long non-coding RNA from Mauremys mutica (yellowpond turtle), 497 nucleotides. RefSeq lists it as uncharacterized. The record is from RefSeq and is a predicted model, not a curated record. The transcript is spliced from 3 exons. NCBI's taxonomy places the organism in Eukaryota, Metazoa, Chordata, Testudines, Geoemydidae.
CUGGGCUCAGACUCCAUGAGGGCAGCAGUCAGGGCGGCUGCUUUGCGACAGGCCCGGAGCUCUGUGCGGCAGGGAGAAGCUGGGCCCAGGAGCAGGAAACAGGCUAUUUGCCAAAACUCGGAAGCAUUUUGCCGCAGUUGUGCUGUGAUGCUGGUAAACCAAGUGUCAGCUGAGAACUGACAAACUCACAGCUGGAAGCCAAGCCAAUUCACAAAGUAAAAGAUGCCCCCAAAGAAGCCUUCAAGUGCUCAGUAGAGGAGCAAAAAGCUCAGUUACAAUCUAGUUUGCAGAAAGGGAGAAAUUGGAUGGGAAAAUAUCUGAAACAGAAUGACAUAGACCGGGCAUUGGACAUCGUCCCAGUGCAAAAGAAAUUGAGGAGCGAAGCAUAAAUGAGGAAAGUCCUAUUACUAAGGAAUGAGCAGAUGUAGCUGAAGAUAAGGAAUGCAAAUGUGAGGAAAGUGAUGGAGAAUCAUCCCGUUUUCCUGGCAGAAUAAAGG